CUCAUACUCCUCAUUUUUCCGGGACCGGACAGACAAAUAAAAUCUGGCUAAGUACUGAUUGAGUUCAGGUACAGAUAUAUCCUCUAUUGCCCGUAAUUCGUUGUUCUCCUUUAACCAUUCAGUUAAUAAUUUUAUGUCACUUUUAGUUUUUCUCUUUGUAUUAUCAUUUUUCAUUUCUUCAAUGAAAUUACUGGUAUCAUCAUUUGUUACAGUCAUAAACCUCUCG
RNAcentral lists this long non-coding RNA (226 nucleotides) under Mytilus galloprovincialis (Mediterranean mussel). The record is from RNAcentral. Lineage: Eukaryota; Metazoa; Mollusca; Bivalvia; Mytilida; Mytilidae.